RNAcentral lists this small RNA (88 nucleotides) under Arabidopsis thaliana (thale cress). Its description in RNAcentral is "ATSL113170". Lineage: Eukaryota; Viridiplantae; Streptophyta; Magnoliopsida; Brassicales; Brassicaceae. The record is from RNAcentral.
AGAUUCUAUGAGGUCCAAUUCAAAUGGACAACCAAAACCAAUAACAGACUGACGGAUCUCCUAACAUCAAACUCUAUCCCAAAUUAUA